This is a non-coding RNA of Pelobates cultripes (western spadefoot toad), 110 nucleotides long. Lineage: Eukaryota; Metazoa; Chordata; Amphibia; Anura; Pelobatidae. The record is from the annotation of a GenBank genome assembly.
UAUGUAUAUGUGUGUGUGUGUGUGUGUGUGUAUAUAUAUAUAUAUAUAUAUAUCUAUAUAUACACACACACACACACACACACACACACACACACACACACAUAUAUAAA